GAUGAACGCUGGCGGCGUGCCUAACACAUGCAAGUCGAGCGAAGCACUCUACUCGAUUUCUUCGGGAUGAAGGUUUAGUGACUGAGCGGCGACGGGUGAGGUACGCGUGGUAACCUGCCUCAUACAGGGGGAUAACAGUUAGAAAUGACUGCUAAUACCGCAUAAGCGCACGUCAUCGCAUGAUGGUGUGUGAAAAACUCCGGUGGUAUGAGAUGGACCCGCGUCUGAUUAGGUAGUUGGUGGGUAACGGCCCACCAAGCCGACGAUCAGUAGCCGACCUGAGAGGGUGACCGGCCACAUUGGGACUGGAGACACGGCCCAA
Molecule: ribosomal RNA, 322 nt
Filed under: uncultured bacterium
Lineage: Bacteria
Description: bacterial SSU rRNA
Rfam family: Bacterial small subunit ribosomal RNA
Source: RNAcentral